UACGUAAGAGACUAGUGUUAUUCAUCUUAAUUAGGUUUAAAGGGUACCUAGACGGUCAAUAUAGCUUCUAAAAUGUUAGUACUUGACUAGAGUUUUAUGUAAGAGGGCAGUACUUGAGGAGGAGAGAUGAAAUUCUAUGAUACCAAAGGGACUCGGUAAAGGCGAAGGCAGCCCUCUAUGUGAAAACUGACGUUAAAGGACGAAGGCACAGAGCACAAACAGG
Molecule: ribosomal RNA, 223 nt
Filed under: uncultured Trichoderma
Lineage: Eukaryota; Fungi; Ascomycota; Sordariomycetes; Hypocreales; Hypocreaceae
Description: partial small subunit ribosomal RNA
Rfam family: Bacterial small subunit ribosomal RNA
Source: RNAcentral